CCGUGAUCCUCCAUCUCUGAACGACUACCGUGAUCCUCCAUCUCUGAACGACUACCGUGAUCCUGAAUCCUCCAUUCUCUGAACUACUACCGUGAUCCUGAAUCCUCCAUCUCUGAACUACUACCGUGAUCCUCCAUCUCUGAACGACUACCGUGAUCCUGAAUCUCUGAACGACUGCCGUGAUCCUCCAUCUCUGAACGACUACCGUGAUCCUGAAUCCUCCAUCUCUGAACGACUACCGUGAUCCUGAAUCCUCCAUCUCUGAACUACUACCGUGAUCCUGAAUCCUCCAUCUCUGAACGACUACCGUGAUCCUCCAUCUCUGAACGACUACCGUGAUCCUGAAUCCUCCAUCUCUGAACGACUACCGUGAUCCUCCAUCUCUGAACGACUACCGUGAUCCUCCAUCUCUGAACUACUACCGUGAUCCUCCAUCUCUGAACUACUACCGUGAUCCUCCAUCUCUGAACGACUACCGUGAUCCUCCAUCUCUCUGAGGGCUCUGAACUACUACCGUGAUCCUGAAUCCUCCAUCUCUGAACGACUACCGUGAUCCUCCAUCUCUCUGAGGGCUCUGAACUAUACUUUCUGGCCUCAGGUCUUUCCAGUUUAUAUUGUCUGUGUCCCAUUUCUACAUGGAGAUGUCAACACCUACUGAAUGUACUGAACUCAUUUGUCCGAAGAUUUGUAUUAUAUUCAUUCUUCUCGAUUUUUAAGCUUCUCUGAUCUAUGAGCUGAAUGAAACGUUGGGAGGACUUGCUAGACCUAUGGAAAAACAGUUUUCAUUCAACUUUUAACAUCCUCUAUAUAACACCAAUUUUUCUUUUUUUUUUUAAUCAUCCAUGUUGGUAGUAGAGUACAUUUGUGUACUUCUUAUGGGGGCUUGUAGCAAAUGAUGAUCAUUCUGUCAUAUAAACAUUGGCUUUACACUACAUUUUCAGUCACCUUUUCGAUUUGGGGGGGUGUGUGUGUACCACUGUGACAUCGCAAAGGCAUACUCCUUGACUGUUGGUGAUUUGCAAACCGUAAUUAAAUAUUUCCAAAUGAG
Long non-coding RNA from Oncorhynchus tshawytscha (Chinook salmon), 1048 nucleotides. RefSeq lists it as uncharacterized. Lineage: Eukaryota; Metazoa; Chordata; Actinopteri; Salmoniformes; Salmonidae. The record is from RefSeq and is a predicted model, not a curated record. The transcript is spliced from 2 exons.